CCUACGGGAGGCAGCAGUGGGGAAUAUUGCACAAUGGGGGAAACCCUGAUGCAGCGACGCCGCGUGAGUGAAGAAGUAUCUCGGUAUGUAAAGCUCUAUCAGCAGGGAAGCAAAUGACGGUCCCUGACUAAGAAGCCCCGGCUAACUACGUGCCAGCAGCCUCGGUAAUACGUAGGGGGCAAGCGUUAUCCGGAUUUCCUGGGUGUAAAGGGGGGGCAGACGGCGCUGCAAGUCCGGAGUGAAAGCCCAGGGCUUAACCAUGGUACUGCUCUGGAAACUGUGGAGUUUGAGUGCGGGAGGGGCAGGCGGAAUGUCGAGUGUAGCGGUGAAAUGCGUAGAUAUUAGGAGGAACACCGGCGGCGAAGGCGGCCUGCUGGACCGUAACUGACGUUGAGGCUCGAAAGCGUGGGGAGCAAAUAGGAUUAGAUACCCCUGUAGUC
RNAcentral lists this ribosomal RNA (440 nucleotides) under uncultured bacterium. RNAcentral describes it as "partial 16S ribosomal RNA". It matches the Rfam family "Bacterial small subunit ribosomal RNA", at positions 338 to 795 of the family's 1533-position model. The record is from RNAcentral.